RNAcentral lists this ribosomal RNA (449 nucleotides) under uncultured bacterium. RNAcentral's name for it is "partial 16S ribosomal RNA". It matches the Rfam family "Bacterial small subunit ribosomal RNA", at positions 29 to 523 of the family's 1533-position model. The record is from RNAcentral.
AACGAACGCUGGCGGCAUGCCUAACACAUGCAAGUCGAACGAGAUCUUCGGGUCUAGUGGCGCACGGGUGCGUAACGCGUGGGAAUCUGCCCUUUGGUUCGGAAUAACAGUUGGAAACGACUGCUAAUACCGGAUGAUGACGAAAGUCCAAAGAUUUAUCGCCAGAGGAUGAGCCCGCGUAGGAUUAGCUAGUUGGUGUGGUAAAGGCGCACCAAGGCGACGAUCCUUAGCUGGUCUGAGAGGAUGAUCAGCCACACUGGGACUGAGACACGGCCCAGACUCCUACGGGAGGCAGCAGUGGGGAAUGUGGGACAAUGGGCGAAAGCCUGAUCCAGCAAGGCCGCGUGAGUGGUGAAGGCCUUAGGGUUGUAAAGCUCUUUUACCCGGGAUGAUAAUGACAGUACCGGGAGAAUAAGCUCCGGCUAACUCCGUGCCAGCCGCCGCCGUAA